GAUGAACGGCUGGCGGCGUGCUUAACACAUGCAAGUCGAACGGUGAAGGAGGAGCUUGUCUCUUCUGGAUCAGUGGCGAACGGGUGAGUAACACGUGAGCAAUCUGCCCUUGACUCUGGGAUAACAGUUGGAAACAGCUGCUAAUACCGGAUACGAGACGUGACCGCAUGGUCAACGUCUGGAAAGAACUUCGGUCAAGGAUGAGCUCACGGCCUAUCAGCUAGUUGGUGAGGUAAUGGCUCACCAAGGCGACGACGGGUAGCCGGCCUGAGAGGGUGACCGGCCACACUGGGACUGAGACACGGCCCAGACUCCUACGGGAGGCAGCAGUGGGGAAUAUUGCACAAUGGGCGAAAGCCUGAUGCAGCAACGCCGCGUGAGGGACGACGGCCUUCGGGUUGUAAACCUCUUUUAGCAAGGAAGAAGCGAAAGUGACGGUACUUGCAGAAAAAGCGCCGGCUAACUACGUG
RNAcentral lists this ribosomal RNA (470 nucleotides) under uncultured bacterium. RNAcentral describes it as "bacterial SSU rRNA". It matches the Rfam family "Bacterial small subunit ribosomal RNA", at positions 35 to 507 of the family's 1533-position model. The record is from RNAcentral.